AGCGAACGCUGGCGGCAGGCUUAACACAUGCAAGUCGAGCGGGCGUAGCAAUACGUCAGCGGCAGACGGGUGAGUAACGUGUGGGAACAUACCUUUUGGUUCGGAACAACACAGGGAAACUUGUGCUAAUACCGGAUAAGCCCUUACGGGGAAAGAUUUAUCGCCGAAAGAUUGGCCCGCGUCUGAUUAGCUAGUUGGUGAGGUAAUGGCUCACCAAGGCGACGAUCAGUAGCNGGUCUGAGAGGAUGAUCAGCCACAUUGGGACUGAGACACGGCCCAAACUCCUACGGGAGGCAGCAGUGGGGAAUAUUGGACAAUGGGCGCAAGCCUGAUCCAGCCAUGCCGCGUGAGUGAUGAAGGCCCUAGGGUUGUAAAGCUCUUUUGUGCGGGAAGAUAAUGACGGUACCGCAAGAAUAA
Molecule: ribosomal RNA, 417 nt
Filed under: uncultured bacterium
Lineage: Bacteria
Description: bacterial SSU rRNA
Rfam family: Bacterial small subunit ribosomal RNA
Source: RNAcentral